UUAGGGUUAAACUCAGUGGUAGAGCACUUGCCUAGCAAGUAUGAAGUCUUGGUUUGAUUCCAGUAACAUGAAA
This 73-nucleotide transfer RNA is filed under the name Marmota monax (woodchuck). RNAcentral's name for it is "tRNA.Ala". Lineage: Eukaryota; Metazoa; Chordata; Mammalia; Rodentia; Sciuridae. The record is from RNAcentral.